UUGGGCCAGUCUGCCAGCCCAUCAGCGCGUGGAGAAGCGGCACUGAAGGACGUGUGGUGGGGGUGGGGGUGUACGCAAUGGUCUCGGAGGUCUUUCCCAGCCUUGAUGAUGCUAAGAUUCCAUUAAUUGUUAUGCCGCACUUUGUUUAACCCUUUAACGUGUUGUUAUUUGUAUCGUUUCAGCAGCUAAAGGGUGAAAGUGAUUUAAUACCUCCUAUUCUGAACACAGCUGAGAACAGAUGUGCCACCACCCGCAAAUGGAAGGCCAGCAGCUCCCCAGACUUCUGCAAGUAAUUCCUCAGAGGCUCAUCCUUGACCUUGGCCAAAUAUGUAUGGUGAUGACUUCAGUUGGGAGCUUCUCAACAAUCCUAAUCAGAAACCCUGAAGAAUAGCACUUGGCGUAUGUGCUGCUUUACCCAACCCCUCUGCUGACUUCGUGGUGAUCUUGGACCAACGUUGAUACUUGUUUCCCCACUAAAGGAAUCCCAAAGUCCCUAUAAAUGGUGCAGAAGAGAGACAUACUGACCAGCCUCAAGUCACAGUAAAUUUGUUUGAGCACACAGCAUUAUAGUGAGCUGCUGUCCCAGCACUGUUUAUGAUGGGCACGCACAGGUUUAAAGCAGGCUGUAGAACUCAGCCCUGGCCAUCAAAAAUGAAGAAAUCCCCUUAUAGGGGAUGGAAAGAAAAACUGAAAGCCAUCCAUGUCCUUCCAGCUCAGAGUGAGGCUGGACCCUGACUGCCAUCAUAGGCACUGCCACAUACCUCUGCUUGGACAUAGCUAAAUGAGCAUGAUAGGGUGGGCUGACAACUGGACUUAGGAAUCUUGGUGGUCUCUUCAACCUUAACAGUACCACGAUUUGGGUAAGGACGUAGUCAUGUCCUCUGCUAACCAAGUAUUUCUCUGUAAUUCCCCCUUUCUCUAUAUGAACCAAAAAAACUGCAGAAACAGCCUUGUGCAGUGCCUUCUGAACACAACUAAGAAUGCAUGGGAUAAUUGUGAGCAUGAUUAAAAUUACUAUCACGAUUACCAUUCAGUGUAUCACUAAAUCUUUCAGCCAUCCUGUAAUGCCUAAACUUGCCAGUCAUUGCUCUAAGGAGGAAUUCUCCACAACUAGCUUUUGGGAUAGCUAUUGUAGGUCUUGCAUGGCUUUAUGGAUAGAUUGUGAAUGAUCUGAAAGAUUCAUACAACACAUACUGUCAAUAUCUUCACAGCCAUGUGCUAGAAGCAAAAAAAUCUAUCGCAGCACAGUUCCGCAAUGUUGCAUGCCAUACUGAAUCUACAUUUAACAAUAAACCACUUAAGGCUAAUGAUGUUGCACUGCCUCCCCCUUUUUCUGUUUAAGUAGCUGCUCUUUUAACACUGUGUGCUUGCUCUACUAGCGACUGGCCUGUAGGUGAGUGGGGGAUCCCUGUUGUAUGGGCAACACCCAAAAGGGCCAGAACAGUUUGUGCUGCCUUACUGACAUACCUGGGCCCAUUAUCAGUUUUGAUUAAUCCAGGAAUGCCAAGUACCAUGAAAACAGAUUGAAGAUGACGUUGAACAUGGCGGCCUGUUUCACCAGUUUGUGCUGUAGCCCAUGUAGCAUGGAAAAAGAUGUCAAUACAAACACGUACAUACUUCAGCUUUCCAGACUCCGGCAUGAGUAACAUCCAUUUGCCAUAUCUGUAAGGAAUGUAAACCCCGUGGGUUAACUGUCCCCCCCACGGGUAGGCACAAUGCCCUGGCAAUCCGGGCAGGACUGGACAAUACCUUUAGCCUCCACCAGGGGUAGACCAAGCUGUUUUGCAAGAACUUUGGUGAAAGAAAUUGUGUUACGCGAAUUCAUCUGAGGGGAGCCCUGACUAAAUAGGUAUGACAAGCUAUUGACAAGCGUCAGCGCGGUCAUUACCCUUCACCAGAAUCCCUGAUAGUCCAGAAUGGCUACAAAUAUGGCAAAUGAAAUAGUCAUGCAUUUUUUGUUCAAGUACAAACCACAAAGUGCAGAACAAUGCAUAUGCUUCUUUCUGCUUACAUUCCUUAAGCACCAACCAUUCCAAUCGCUUGACCACCCCCACUACAUACAGAGAAUCAGUCGCAAUAUUCACAGGAACAUCAGUUAAUCUCUUAAAAAAAAACAAAACACUACAAGAGCCACUUGUAAUUCAAGUUGUUGCACCGAUCCUGUGCAGCAUAACGCUCUUGCCAUGAACUACUGUGCUGCCAUACAAGGGCUGCCUUUUUGGUUUGACCUCCCACAUCAGUAAACACAAAAUUAUAGAGACAUACUUGGUUAGCAGAGGACAUGACUACGUGAGUCUAGACUAAGGCCUAUGUGCUUUGGUACAAAUGCUGCUGUCUCUGGGCAGUCACAGUCUUUGACAAAGUCAGCAAGAGAAAGGAGAUGCAUAAGCAGAAAAAGAGCUGUACUAGGAAAAAGGAAAGAAGUUACAAAGCUUAGCUGAGGUUAGCUAAGAAAGCUGCCUGUUGCCAAUGAAUCAGAGAAGAAGCUUGGGUGCAUGAUCCAAGAUCCAAGAUACACCUCGUGCUAACUGCAUGCUAGAUGAUCAACUGUAGAGGCAUUGCAUGUAUUUCACACCUGCAACCAAUCAGAAGUACACUUCAUGUUAUACAAGAGUUGUAUUUUUUCCAAUAUACUGCCUCUGCUUUAACUCUA
Lagopus leucura (white-tailed ptarmigan) is the source of this 2653-nucleotide long non-coding RNA. RefSeq lists it as uncharacterized. NCBI's taxonomy places the organism in Eukaryota, Metazoa, Chordata, Aves, Galliformes, Phasianidae. The record is from RefSeq and is a predicted model, not a curated record. The transcript is spliced from 3 exons.